Pseudophryne corroboree (corroboree frog) is the source of this 567-nucleotide long non-coding RNA. RefSeq lists it as uncharacterized. Lineage: Eukaryota; Metazoa; Chordata; Amphibia; Anura; Myobatrachidae. The transcript is spliced from 3 exons. The record is from RefSeq and is a predicted model, not a curated record.
CAGCAAUGCUGGAUCAGGGAAUGUUUGGAUGUGUAGUUAUGCAAGUGCAGGAGGUUUGCAUUUGGGCUGCUGCAACCCGCUUGUGUUGUGUGGACUGUUGUAUGUACCUCCUUUUUCAGCCCCAGAGUGACACUAUCACCCAUACCUGAAAGCUUAAACGGUUCUCUUCCACAGGUACUGCGGUGUAUCUUCCCAAGUGGCGUGGAUGUGAGGAGACACGACAUUUCACCCGAUGUUCCAUGGGCGACCUACUGGUGAUGUGGACCUGACCCUCCGCCAUGUAGCAGACAACCACCUCAGGUACUGCGGUGUAUCUUCCCAAGUGGCGUGGAUGUGAGGAGACACGACAUUUCACCCGAUGUUCCAUGGGCGACCUACUGGUGAUGUGGACCUGACCCUCCGCCAUGUAGCAGACAACCACCUCAGAUCUUCCGGUGUAUCCUUCCUAAGUGGUGUGGACGUGAAGAGACAGAUCCCCUGAUGUUCCCUGGGCAAUCUUACAUACAAUUCAACUGCAUUACAAAUUUUAAUAAAAACCACAGGAAACUUCUAUUUUUAAAAGUUUAU